Molecule: unclassified non-coding RNA, 366 nt
Filed under: Hevea brasiliensis (rubber tree)
Lineage: Eukaryota; Viridiplantae; Streptophyta; Magnoliopsida; Malpighiales; Euphorbiaceae
Source: RNAcentral
GGAACAAUCAUCAUUGAAUGCAUAUUUUUUUUCCCUUUUUGGCAAUUUUUAUUGGUCAUCUGCCCACAUAUUUAACAAUUUUUUUGCUGAAGCUAUUAGCCCAUUUCACUUCUUGUGUAUAGUCAUGUACUCCUUAUUCAAUGAAGCCUAACUAAUAGCAACUGAUGAAUGAAUGUUUGGAUUAAGGGAGUUUUUUUCAAAUACAUGAUCUGUUGGCUAAGGAAUUAAUUUUUCUCUAUUCUCUGUCAUUCACCAUUGAUGCUUAUCUCAUAAUGCUUAUGCAUUUUUUCCCCUGUUCUAUUUCUUUUUCUUUCCUCAAAGUGAACAAUCGUCUUUGGUUUGCAGAUUUACUCAGAUAUCACCAGC